CCCAGACUCCUACGGGAGGCAGCAGUGGGGGAUAUUGCACAAUGGGGGGAACCCUGAUGCAGCGACGCCGCGUGGGUGAAGGAGCGUUUCGGCGCGUAAAGCCCUAUCGGCAGGGAAGAAGGAGGACGGUACCUGACUAAGAAGCCCCGGCUAACUACGUGCCAGCAGCCGCGGUAAUACGUAGGGGGCAAGCGUUAUCCGGAUUUACUGGGUGUAAAGGGGGCGCAGACGGCAGCGCAAGCCAGGAGUGAAAGCCCGGGGCCCAACCCCGGGACUGCUCUUGGAACUGCGCGGCUGGAGUGCAGGAGGGGCAGGCGGAAUUCCUGGUGUAGCGGUGAAAUGCGUAGAUAUCAGGAGGAACACCGGCGGCGAAGGCGGCCUGCUGGACCGUGACUGACGUUGAGGCUCGAGAGCGUGGGGAGCAAACAGGAUUAGAUACCCUUGUAU
This 447-nucleotide ribosomal RNA is filed under the name uncultured bacterium. RNAcentral describes it as "bacterial SSU rRNA". It matches the Rfam family "Bacterial small subunit ribosomal RNA", at positions 330 to 793 of the family's 1533-position model. The record is from RNAcentral.